RNAcentral lists this ribosomal RNA (773 nucleotides) under uncultured Neocallimastigales. Its description in RNAcentral is "partial large subunit ribosomal RNA". It matches the Rfam family "Eukaryotic large subunit ribosomal RNA", at positions 18 to 624 of the family's 3401-position model. The record is from RNAcentral. Lineage: Eukaryota; Fungi; Neocallimastigomycota; Neocallimastigomycetes; Neocallimastigales.
UCAGACGAUGCGUCAUGCAUAUCAAUAAGCGGAGGAAAAGAAACUAACAAGGAUUCCCUUAGUAACGGCGAGUGAAGCGGGAAGAGCUCAAAUUUGAAAUCUUCAAGGUUUUACCUUGACGAAUUGUAGUUUAAAGAAGUGUUUUCUGCUGAAGUUUUGGUAAAAGUUCUUUGGAAUAGGACAUCAUAGAGGGUGAGAAUCCCGUAUUUGACCAUUAUUUUCAGCUUUGUGAUACACUUUCAAAGAGUCGGAUUGUUUGGGAAUGCAGUCCAAAAUGGGUGGUAAAUUUCAUCUAAAGCUAAAUAUUGGCGAGAGACCGAUAGCGAACAAGUACCGUGAGGGAAAGAUGAAAAGAACUUUGAAAAGAGAGUUAAAUAGUACGUGAAAUUGUCAAAAGGGAAGCGUUUAACACCAGUGUUGUUUUCUCGAAAAUCAAUUAAAAAUGGCUCGAUUUUGUAUUGCUGAGACCUUAAAAGCUCACUGUACAUUUUUCGUGUCUUUUUAAUGCACUUUUCGUUUAACAAGUCAACAUCAGUUUCUUUUGUUGUAAAAGGGUCAUUGGAAGGUGGCUUUCUUUUCGGAGAAAGUGUUUAUAGCCUUUGGCCUCUGCAAUCGGAGAGACUGAGGUCUGCAGCGUAGACUCUUCGGGGUUAGAUACAUUUGUGCUAAGUUAUAGCUUUUUAUAGACAACUUGUUGACUAUAAUUAGUCUUGUAGCUUACUCGCUUAUGCUAUUUUACCUACGCUUAGGAUGUUGACUGAUAUGUAGUCGUA